Tetraodon nigroviridis (spotted green pufferfish) is the source of this 77-nucleotide non-coding RNA. NCBI's taxonomy places the organism in Eukaryota, Metazoa, Chordata, Actinopteri, Tetraodontiformes, Tetraodontidae. The record is from Rfam.
CUUUGGGGAACAUUCAACGCUGUCGGUGAGUUUGGUGACUCAGAAAAAAACCAUCGAGCGUUGAGUGUACCUUUAGG